Molecule: ribosomal RNA, 497 nt
Filed under: uncultured bacterium
Lineage: Bacteria
Description: partial 16S ribosomal RNA
Rfam family: Bacterial small subunit ribosomal RNA
Source: RNAcentral
GAUGAACGCUGACGGCGUGCCUAAUACAUGCAAGUCGAGCGAACGGACGAGAAGCUUGCUUCUCUGAUGUUAGCGGCGGACGGGUGAGUAACACGUGGAUAACCUACCUAUAAGACUGGGAUAACUUCGGGAAACCGGAGCUAAUACCGGAUAAUAUUUUGAACCGCAUGGUUCAAAAGUGAAAGACGGUCUUGCUGUCACUUAUAGAUGGAUCCGCGCUGCAUUAGCUAGUUGGUAAGGUAACGGCUUACCAAGGCAACGAUGCAUAGCCGACCUGAGAGGGUGAUCGGCCACACUGGAACUGAGACACGGUCCAGACUCCUACGGGAGGCAGCAGUAGGGAAUCUUCCGCAAUGGGCGAAAGCCUGACGGAGCAACGCCGCGUGAGUGAUGAAGGUCUUCGGAUCGUAAAACUCUGUUAUUAGGGAAGAACAUAUGUGUAAGUAACUGUGCACAUCCUGACGGUACCUAAUCAGAAAGCCACGGCUAACUACGUG